Paramormyrops kingsleyae is the source of this 79-nucleotide small nucleolar RNA. Its record names the gene SNORD83. It matches the Rfam family "Small nucleolar RNA SNORD83". Rfam says of the family: U83 (SNORD83) and U84 (SNORD84) are members of the C/D class of snoRNA which contain the C (UGAUGA) and D (CUGA) box motifs. They act as guanine methylation guides but lack complementarity to ribosomal RNA. Lineage: Eukaryota; Metazoa; Chordata; Actinopteri; Osteoglossiformes; Mormyridae. The record is from Ensembl.
GCCACAUGAUGACAUGAUAGCAUAGCAUUAGCACUCUGUGCAAAGAUGACUGCCUAUCUAUCACCCUUGUCUGAUGGCU